This is a non-coding RNA of Misgurnus anguillicaudatus (oriental weatherfish), 369 nucleotides long. Lineage: Eukaryota; Metazoa; Chordata; Actinopteri; Cypriniformes; Cobitidae. The record is from the annotation of a RefSeq genome assembly.
AUGAUUAACAACAUUUACUUAGUACAGGAUUGGGGUUUAGUUGAAACCAACAGUCCCCCUAAAGUGAUCGUCCUGCCGCCGUCCAGUGAAGAGAUUUCCACAAAGCAAGCAGCAACACUGAUGUGUGUGGCCAACAAGGGCUUCCCCUCAGACUGGAGUCUGAACUGGAAGGUGGACGGGAUCAGCAGCAGGUCUCAGUACAGCAGUGUUGCUCUCCUGGAGAAGGACGGUCUGUACAGCUGGAGCAGCAGUCUGACUCUCUCUGAGCAGGAGUGGAGCUCAGUGAUCUCAGUCAGCUGUGAGCUCACACAGAAAGACCAGCGUGAUAAAGUCACUGGAGAAUUGAGGAGAGAUCAGUGUUCACAGUAG